This 485-nucleotide ribosomal RNA is filed under the name uncultured bacterium. Its description in RNAcentral is "partial 16S ribosomal RNA". It matches the Rfam family "Bacterial small subunit ribosomal RNA", at positions 27 to 507 of the family's 1533-position model. The record is from RNAcentral.
GAUUGAACGCUGGCGGCAGGCCUAACACAUGCAAGUCGAGCGGAUGAAGGGAGCUUGCUCCUGGAUUCAGCGGCGGACGGGUGAGUAAUGCCUAGGAAUCUGCCUGGUAGUGGGGGAUAACGUCCGGAAACGGGCGCUAAUACCGCAUACGUCCUGAGGGAGAAAGUGGGGGAUCUUCGGACCUCACGCUAUCAGAUGAGCCUAGGUCGGAUUAGCUAGUUGGUGGGGUAAAGGCCUACCAAGGCGACGAUCCGUAACUGGUCUGAGAGGAUGAUCAGUCACACUGGAACUGAGACACGGUCCAGACUCCUACGGGAGGCAGCAGUGGGGAAUAUUGGACAAUGGGCGAAAGCCUGAUCCAGCCAUGCCGCGUGUGUGAAGAAGGUCUUCGGAUUGUAAAGCACUUUAAGUUGGGAGGAAGGGCAGUAAGUUAAUACCUUGCUGUUUUGACGUUACCAACAGAAUAAGCACCGGCUAACCUCGUG